GGCUAUUAUGGACCACUCCAAACUGCAUGGGUUGCUCAAAACUCUCCUGGAUUUGCUUUCUUUGAAUUUGAGGAUUCCUGAGAUGCUGCUGAUGCUGUCCGAAGCUAAAUGGAAGAAUACUAUGUGACUGCUGCAUAAGAUUGGAACUGUCGAAUAUUGAAAAGUGAAGUUGGAAUCAUGGCCUGCCUCCCUCUUGGGGUCAUUGUCCUCGAGAUGAUUACUGCAGGAGGAGACCUCCAUCUCAGCACAGAUCCCCAAGAAGGAGAAGCUUUUCCCAAAGCCAGAGCAGGUCACUUUCUAUAUAUAGGAGAAGGGAAAGGAGAUAAGCUGUCUCGAUCCUUCUCUAGGUCUCAUAGCCGAUCUAGGUCAAAUGAAAGGAAAUAGAAGACCAGUUUGCAAAAGUGGUGUACAGGAAAUAACUUCAUUUGACAGGAGUAUGUACAGGAAAUUAAAGUUUUGUAUGAGACUUCAUAA
Molecule: long non-coding RNA, 474 nt
Filed under: Rattus norvegicus (Norway rat)
Lineage: Eukaryota; Metazoa; Chordata; Mammalia; Rodentia; Muridae
Description: long non-coding RNA NONRATT003326
Source: RNAcentral